GGGGUAUAUGUCUUCGGAUAUAGAGACCGGCGCACGGGUGCGUAACGCGUAUGCAAUCUACCUUUCACAGAGGGAUAGCCCAGAGAAAUUUGGAUUAAUACCUCAUAGUAUUACGACUCGGCAUCGAGAUGUAAUUAAAGUCACAACGGUGAAAGAUGAGCAUGCGUCCCAUUAGCUAGUUGGUAAGGUAACGGCUUACCAAGGCAACGAUGGGUAGGGGUCCUGAGAGGGAGAUCCCCCACACUGGUACUGAGACACGGACCAGACUCCUACGGGAGGCAGCAGUGAGGAAUAUUGGUCAAUGGACGCAAGUCUGAACCAGCCAUGCCGCGUGCAGGAUGACGGUCCUAUGGAUUGUAAACUGCUUUUGUACGAGAAGAAACAACAUUACGUGUAAUGUCUUGACGGUAUCGUAAGAAUAAGGAUCGGCUAACUCCGUGCCAGCAGCCGCGGU
Molecule: ribosomal RNA, 454 nt
Filed under: Flavobacterium sp. FlavoEI_MT1r3CB5_E06_45
Lineage: Bacteria; Pseudomonadati; Bacteroidota; Flavobacteriia; Flavobacteriales; Flavobacteriaceae
Description: bacterial SSU rRNA
Rfam family: Bacterial small subunit ribosomal RNA
Source: RNAcentral